This 451-nucleotide long non-coding RNA is filed under the name Lathyrus oleraceus (garden pea). RNAcentral describes it as "Pisum sativum (pea) long non-coding RNA (PSAT_LNC029089)". Lineage: Eukaryota; Viridiplantae; Streptophyta; Magnoliopsida; Fabales; Fabaceae. The record is from RNAcentral.
UGUGAGCCAUAAGGCACAGAUUUGCAGCUUCAUCACCAUCACUUGAGCUUUGUGUGCUUGAUGAAUCACUAUCACUUUCCCAUGCAAUAUACGCUCUUCUUUGUUUGCUGUACCCUUUUGGUGAAUCUUUUCUUUGGUCCUUAUACUUCAUAGGGCAGUCCGUUUUAAAGUGUCCGGAUUUACCACAAUUAAAGCAUGAUCCUCUUCCUCUACUCUUCUUGUUCUCUUCUUGUUUCGAAUUUAUAGAUUGUCUUCGAAAUUUCAUGAGAUUUUUGUCGGAAUGUUUGACUCCAUUCUUUCGAAUGAAUCUAUUGUAUCUUCUUACAAACAGUCCCAUUUCCUCAUCAUCCGAGUCUUUGUCACUACUUGAAUCAUUGUCGCUUUGCUCUUUUCGUGAGGACUUAGAGCUAGAGGCCACAAGAGCUAUUGGCUUCUUCUCUCCCUCUUUGUC